GGCCUUGUGGUGUUCAGCACAUAAAAUUGCAACUUUUAAAGAGCAGGAUGACAUCUGCCGGGGCUU
Molecule: transfer RNA, 66 nt
Filed under: Urspelerpes brucei (patch-nosed salamander)
Lineage: Eukaryota; Metazoa; Chordata; Amphibia; Caudata; Plethodontidae
Description: tRNA-Cys
Source: RNAcentral